Musa acuminata AAA Group (dessert banana) is the source of this 906-nucleotide long non-coding RNA. RefSeq lists it as uncharacterized. Lineage: Eukaryota; Viridiplantae; Streptophyta; Magnoliopsida; Zingiberales; Musaceae. The transcript has 2 exons. The record is from RefSeq and is a predicted model, not a curated record.
AGGACUUCCAACGCACGAGAAAACGCGAGAGAGAGAGAGAGAGAGACCUAAUCCCUUUCUUCUCUCGGUGUUACUGCGAUCGCUUCGUUCACGAGGCUUCCCGCGGUCGGCCCUCUGGGAGAUUCAAGCUCCAGGUGAAGGUUUAACAGCAUACUAAGCAAUUGAUUUGGGCACCUCUUCCGGUGCAAACCAUCACCACCAAGCCCCACCGGCAAUGCUUCCUCCCACGCCAGCCUCCGAGGUCGGUCCCUCGCUUCGUCCGACCAUGCAGACUCACCCGCAUCCCAAGAACCACGAUAAUAUUCUAAUGGCGAAUCUCCCCCACUGAGAAUGCCAGCUCGCAUGAGGCCUGGCCCAUCGAGACAAACCGCCCAGUUGCCGUCACGGGAAACAAAGUAGAGAAGGAAAAGCAAGGGGACAAUGAAACCACUGGACUGAGGAUGAAACAGAGGCUAAGAUGUUCCAGCUUCAGGCCAGCGAGGUCAAACAGGAGACUGUGAGGCUACAGGGAAUUGCACUUGCUAAAUCAGAGAAUGCUGAGCAGCACUAUGCCAGUAUGUAACCUGAAGCAUUGUCUUGAAGAAGCAGAAACUGAGAAGCAAUAUCUGCUUGAAAAGAUAGAGCUUCAGGAGAUCAGCAGUGGAAAAGUAAAAAUCCAGGAUUUAUUGAAGAAUGUGCAUAGCAUUCGAUCAAAGGCAGCAGGGUAAAAGUAAAAAUGAGCUGCUGCUGACUGCCCAUAGAGAUUCCUGGUUCUAUUUAAUGUAGUAAUUUACAGCCAAGGAUUAGUAGUCCACAACCAAGGAGUGUUGAUAUUAUCAUCUGGAUGUUGCUUGAUGUAGUUCCAGUUGGUCUUUUGAACCAAUCUUCAUCUUUAUAUGAUUUGAUGCUUAUAAUUAAUUGUCUUUA